GUCCUACGGGAGGCAGCAGUGGGGAAUAUUGCACAAUGGGGGAAACCCUGAUGCAGCGACGCCGCGUGAGUGAGGAAGUAUUUCGGUAUGUAAAGCUCUAUCAGCAGGGAAGAAAAUGACGGUACCUGACUAAGAAGCCCCGGCUAACUACGUGCCAGCAGCCGCGGUAAUACGUAGGGGGCAAGCGUUAUCCGGAUUUACUGGGUGUAAAGGGUGCGCAGGCGGAAGAUCAAGUCAGCGGUAAAAUUGAGAGGCUCAACCUCUUCGAGCCGUUGAAACUGGUUUUCUUGAGUGAGCGAGAAGUA
RNAcentral lists this ribosomal RNA (305 nucleotides) under uncultured bacterium. Its description in RNAcentral is "bacterial SSU rRNA". It matches the Rfam family "Bacterial small subunit ribosomal RNA", at positions 335 to 659 of the family's 1533-position model. The record is from RNAcentral.